RNAcentral lists this unclassified non-coding RNA (367 nucleotides) under Hevea brasiliensis (rubber tree). Lineage: Eukaryota; Viridiplantae; Streptophyta; Magnoliopsida; Malpighiales; Euphorbiaceae. The record is from RNAcentral.
AUCUUCAACAGGGCUUGCCAGGUAACUUUUGCGAUAAUUCAUUGAUCAUUUUCUUGCGUAAUGAUAAUUAAGAAGUUGCUGACUAUAUUCUCUAACCAGUCAAAUCUAGUUUUAAGAGAGAUUGUGCUUGUGUAUUCAACUCCUGAUGCUGGUGACAUGGGCUUAAGGUGCAAAUCAGAUGUUCACAGUAAAUACAUUUGAUUUUUUGGGAACACAAUCAUGACCUUAUAUAUUUUUGUAACUACUAUCAAAAUUAUCAUAUUCGUAUAUCAACUACAAUAUGGAAUCAUUUAAUUUCCCUUUAUAACCAAAUGCCUUAUCGAUUGGAUCAUUACUGUGUGAUUAAAACUUUGGGGCUGUUGCUUGA